This 254-nucleotide ribosomal RNA is filed under the name uncultured bacterium. RNAcentral's name for it is "partial 16S ribosomal RNA". It matches the Rfam family "Bacterial small subunit ribosomal RNA", at positions 524 to 776 of the family's 1533-position model. The record is from RNAcentral.
GACGGAGGGUGCAAGCGUUGUUCGGAAUUACUGGGCGUAAAGGGCGCGUAGGCGGUCUGUUAAAUUCGGUGUGAAAGCCCCCGGCUCACCUGGGGAACUGCGCCGGAAACCGACAGACUCGAGUACCGGAGAGGAGGGUGGAAUUCCUGGUGUAGCGGUGAAAUGCGUAGAUAUCAGGAGGAACACCGGUGGCGAAGGCGGCCCUCUGGACGGAUACUGACGCUGGAGGAGCGAAAGCGUGGGGAGCGAACAGG